CCUGGUGGCUAUGGCGGACGUGAACCACCCGAUCCCAUCCCGAACUCGGCCGUGAAACCGUCCUGCGCCGAUGGUACUUCGUCUUAAGACGCGGGAGAGUAGGUCGCUGCCAGGU
Ribosomal RNA from Tistrella mobilis KA081020-065, 115 nucleotides. Lineage: Bacteria; Pseudomonadati; Pseudomonadota; Alphaproteobacteria; Geminicoccales; Geminicoccaceae. The record is from Rfam.